Molecule: ribosomal RNA, 479 nt
Filed under: uncultured bacterium
Lineage: Bacteria
Description: bacterial SSU rRNA
Rfam family: Bacterial small subunit ribosomal RNA
Source: RNAcentral
CUACGUGCCAGCAGCCGCGGUAAUACGUAGGGGGCAAGCGUUAUCCGGAUUCAUUGGGCGUAAAGCGCUCGUAGGCGGUCUGUUAGGUCGGGAGUUAAAUCCGGGGGCUCAACCCCCGUUCGCUCCCGAUACCGGCAGACUUGAGUUUGGUAGGGGAAGGUGGAAUUCCUAGUGUAGCGGUGGAAUGCGCAGAUAUUAGGAAGAACACCAGUGGCGAAGGCGGCCUUCUGGGCCAUAACUGACGCUGAGGAGCGAAAGCUAGGGGAGCAAACAGGAUUAGAUACCCUGGUAGUCCUAGCCGUAAACGAUGGACACUAGGUGUGGGGGGAAUAUUUCUUCCGUGCCGCAGCUAACGCAUUAAGUGUCCCGCCUGGGGAGUACGGCCGCAAGGCUAAAACUCAAAGGAAUUGACGGGGGCCCGCACAAGCAGCGGAGCAUGUGGUUUAAUUCGAAGCAACGCGAAGAACCUUACCAGGGCU